Molecule: RNase P RNA, 395 nt
Filed under: Sporosarcina highlanderae
Lineage: Bacteria; Bacillati; Bacillota; Bacilli; Caryophanales; Caryophanaceae
Description: RNase P RNA component class B
Rfam family: Bacterial RNase P class B
About the family: Ribonuclease P (RNase P) is a ubiquitous endoribonuclease, found in archaea, bacteria and eukarya as well as chloroplasts and mitochondria. Its best characterised activity is the generation of mature 5'-ends of tRNAs by cleaving the 5'-leader elements of precursor-tRNAs.
Source: RNAcentral
GAAUUCAGGUAAUCGCUGCAACUUACGUUGUAGAGGAAAGUCCAUGCUCGCACGGCUCUGAGAAGACCGUAGUGUUCGUGCUCGGCGAAAAAAUAAGCCGGGGCAACGCAUGAUGCGUUGACGGCGGGGAUAAAUCCUAAGUUCGUUCAACGAAUAUGGAUGAGGUCUCCUGAAAAGUGCCACAGUGACGUAGCUUAUCCGGAAACGGCUAAGGUGGAACGCGGUAAACCCCACGAGCGAGAAACCCAAAUUAUGGUAGGGGCACUCUUCUGAAGGAAAUGAACAGAUGAAGGGACAGACAUCAUUUUAAGAUGAGUCUGUAGAUAGAUGAUUACCGCCCUAAGUACGAGGCGCAAGCCGUUUGAGUACGCGGGAACAAAACAUGGCUUAUCGAA